UACGUAGGGGGCAAGCGUUAUCCGGAUUUACUGGGUGUAAAGGGGGCGCAGACGGCGAUGCAAGCCAGGAGUGAAAGCCCGGGGCCCAACCCCGGGACUGCUCUUGGAACUGCGUGGCUGGAGUGCAGGAGGGGCAGGCGGAAUUCCUGGUGUAGCGGUGAAAUGCGUAGAUAUCACGCAGAACCCCGAUUGCGAAGGCAGCAUGCCGGCUUCCUACUGACGCUGAAGCACGAAAGCGUGGGGAUCGAACAGG
RNAcentral lists this ribosomal RNA (253 nucleotides) under uncultured bacterium. Its description in RNAcentral is "partial 16S ribosomal RNA". It matches the Rfam family "Bacterial small subunit ribosomal RNA", at positions 524 to 776 of the family's 1533-position model. The record is from RNAcentral.